GACGAACGCUGGCGGCGUGCCUAAUACAUGCAAGUAGGACGCAGUUGCGAACGGGUGAGUAACGCUUGGGAACCUGCCUAUUAGAGGGGGAUAACUAUUGGAAACGAUAGCUAAUACCGCAUACUAGUUGAUGGAUCUGCGUUGUAUUAGCUAGUGGGGGGGGUAAAGGCCUACCAGGGCGACGAUCCGGAACUGGUCUGAGAGGAUGAUCGGUCGCACUGGAACUGAGACACGGACCAUACUCCUACGGGAGGCAGCAGUCGGGAAUAUGGGACAAUGGGCGACAGCCUGAUCCAGCCGUGCCGCGUGUGUGAAGAAGGUCUUCGGAUUGUAAAGCACUUUAAGUUGGGAGGCGGUACCAACAGAAUAAGCACCGGCUAACUUCGUGCCAGCAGCCGCGGUAAUAC
RNAcentral lists this ribosomal RNA (407 nucleotides) under uncultured bacterium. Its description in RNAcentral is "partial 16S ribosomal RNA". It matches the Rfam family "Bacterial small subunit ribosomal RNA", at positions 28 to 526 of the family's 1533-position model. The record is from RNAcentral.